Molecule: long non-coding RNA, 238 nt
Organism: Cydia amplana
Lineage: Eukaryota; Metazoa; Arthropoda; Insecta; Lepidoptera; Tortricidae
Exons: 2
Source: RefSeq, a predicted model, not a curated record
UCAGGAGCUUACUACUGGCGAUCUGAAAUCAGAUGUCAUACAUGCCAAUACUAGCAAUUCAAGAGUGUCGCAAGAUGAUGCAAACGGGCCUAUGAGAGAUCCAAGUGAAAUGGUACUUCGAACGGUGACUUCAGAACCCACGGUGCAGCUCCAGCCCCUUACGUCAUCAGAUAUAAGGAAGUGGUCGGCCGACAGGAAGAGGCGAAGAAACGACUGAAAUAAACAUUAGGAAUUUAAA